This 253-nucleotide ribosomal RNA is filed under the name uncultured bacterium. Its description in RNAcentral is "partial 16S ribosomal RNA". It matches the Rfam family "Bacterial small subunit ribosomal RNA", at positions 524 to 776 of the family's 1533-position model. The record is from RNAcentral.
UACGUAGGGGGCAAGCGUUGUCCGGAGUUAUUGGGCGUAAAGCGCGCGCAGGCGGUCUUCCAAGUCAGUGGUGAAAGCCCGGAGCUCAACUCCGGAACUGCCAUUGAAACUGUGAGACUUGAGGAUGAGAGAGGUGAGUGGAAUUCCCAGUGUAGAGGUGAAAUUCGUAGAUAUUGGGAAGAACACCGGUGGCGAAGGCGGCUCACUGGCUCAUUUCUGACGCUCAGGCGCGACAGCGUGGGGAGCAAACAGG